GAUGAACGCUGGCGGCGUGCCUAAUACAUGCAAGUCGAGCGAACAGACGAGGCGCUUGCUCCUUCGACGUUAGCGGCGGACGGGUGAGUAACACGUAGGUAACCUACCUAUAAGACUGGGAUAACUUCGGGAAACCGGAGCUAAUACCGGAUAAUAUUUCGAACCGCAUGGUUCGAUAGUGAAAGAUGGCUUUGCUAUCACUUAUAGAUGGACCUGCGCCGUAUUAGCUAGUUGGUAAGGUAACGGCUUACCAAGGCAACGAUACGUAGCCGACCUGAGAGGGUGAUCGGCCACACUGGAACUGAGACACGGUCCAGACUCCUACGGGAGGCAGCAGUAGGGAAUCUUCCGCAAUGGGCGAAAGCCUGACGGAGCAACGCCGCGUGAGUGAUGAAGGUCUUCGGAUCGUAAAACUCCGUUAUUAGGGAAGAACAAACGUGUAAGUAACUGUGCACGUCUUGACGGUACCUAAUCAGAAAGCCACGGCUAACUACGUG
Molecule: ribosomal RNA, 497 nt
Filed under: uncultured bacterium
Lineage: Bacteria
Description: partial 16S ribosomal RNA
Rfam family: Bacterial small subunit ribosomal RNA
Source: RNAcentral